Molecule: transfer RNA, 68 nt
Filed under: Heterocephalus glaber (naked mole-rat)
Lineage: Eukaryota; Metazoa; Chordata; Mammalia; Rodentia; Bathyergidae
Rfam family: tRNA
About the family: Transfer RNA (tRNA) molecules are approximately 80 nucleotides in length. Their secondary structure includes four short double-helical elements and three loops (D, anti-codon, and T loops).
Source: Rfam by way of RNAcentral
GUGAGGAUAGCUCAGUGGUAGAGUGCUUGCCUACUAUGCAGUAGUUCCGGGGUUCAAUUCCUAGCACA